RNAcentral lists this ribosomal RNA (301 nucleotides) under uncultured bacterium. RNAcentral's name for it is "partial 16S ribosomal RNA". It matches the Rfam family "Bacterial small subunit ribosomal RNA", at positions 509 to 807 of the family's 1533-position model. The record is from RNAcentral.
CAGUCGCCGCGUGAAUACGUAGGGUGCAAGCGUUAAUCGGAAUUACUGGGCGUAAAGCGUGCGCAGGCGGUUAUAUAAGACAGAUGUGAAAUCCCCGGGCUCAACCUGGGAACUGCAUUUGUGACUGUAUAGCUAGAGUACGGCAGAGGGGGAUGGAAUUCCGCGUGUAGCAGUGAAAUGCGUAGAUAUGCGGAGGAACACCGAUGGCGAAGGCAAUCCCCUGGGCCUGUACUGACGCUCAUGCACGAAAGCGUGGGGAGCAAACAGGAUUAGAUACCCGUGUAGUCCCUGUCUCUUAUAC